This is an RNA transcript of Motacilla alba alba, 1237 nucleotides long. It is a transcript of the gene named proline rich 29, with no coding region annotated. The transcript has 5 exons. The record is from RefSeq and is a predicted model, not a curated record. NCBI's taxonomy places the organism in Eukaryota, Metazoa, Chordata, Aves, Passeriformes, Motacillidae.
UCUACGCUUUGGGGAGACUUCAUUAACCCAAUGUCCCUCCCAUUCCCUAAUGAGCCUCAGAUGCCAUUAACUGCUCCUUUCACCCCCUCACCACGAGGCACAGGGUCGGGGACACAGGAACAGCCCAGGCCAGCAUCCCCAGGGCCUUGCCCGGGGAUUUCCCGGCGGGAGAAGCCGCCCGGGGACAUUCCUGGCUCGGCCGAGCCUCCCUCGGGCAGGGUUUGUUUCCCCGGGAGCCCUGGAGACGAUCCCGACUCAGCAGCUCCCGAGCCAUGGAGCGGGGAGCGGCCGGGGGGGACCCCCGCGGGCUCUGGGGGGACCCCCGGGCAGGGACCCUCCUUGUCCCACGCGGGCCCCGCGCCGUGGGGUCGCCCCCCGGAGCCGUGCCGGUGUCCCGGCCGCCGGUGCUGAUCCUGCAGCAGCUGCCCGGGCCCGGGGCCGCCCCCGCGGGACCCCCGCCCGUCCGGGGAGAUUUGAUGGAGCUGAUGCUGAUUCAAACCUCCCAAAUGCACCAGCUGUUGAUGCACGGCCUGGCCAUGGCAGCUCUGAUGCCCCUCGGUGCGGGGCCAGCCCCAGCCCCCGCCCAGGGCCCAGCUCUGACAGCUCAGACAGCAGCCAGGCUUUGGGCAGAGGUUCAGCCCAGCUGCGAGGAGCCAGGACCCUCUGGAAGUGCUGCCCAACCCGGCAGGAGCUCGCCAGGGGCUGCCAUUUAAAAACCCAUCUCGAACCAAAAGAUUUCAUCCCCUGGGGGGGAACAAUGCAGCUUUUGGGGCAGGGCUGGGCUGUGGCAGCUGCUGAGCUCGCUGCCAGCUGGCUCCUCCUGGCAGCCACCCCCUGCCCUCCCAGUGCCACCAGCGCAGGGCCGCCCGGGACUGGACCCUGCCUGCUCAAACGGCUCUCAGGCAGAUCAGAGGGCUCUUCCCACGGGGUUUUGGUCCCAUCGGUGGGGCUGCCACCCCCCGUGUCCCCGGGGCUUUGUGUGGGACCGAGCCCACCCAGUGCGAGCAGCCGGGCGCGAUCCCUGGCCAGCGGCGCUUCGGGAGCCCCGGAGCCCGGCCCGGCCCCAGCCCUGCCAGUCCAACCCCGCAGGCGCUGGCGGAGCCUUCGCAGGGCGAGGAGGAAGAGGAGGCCGUGGUUUUCCACCAUCACUACAUCCCUUGGCCCGCGCCCGGCCCGGCCCCCGUGCGGUUCCUGCGCUCCUCACCCGGGGACGGACGAGCUGUGCCCCCUCCGCCGC